This 431-nucleotide ribosomal RNA is filed under the name uncultured bacterium. RNAcentral's name for it is "bacterial SSU rRNA". It matches the Rfam family "Bacterial small subunit ribosomal RNA", at positions 960 to 1391 of the family's 1533-position model. The record is from RNAcentral.
CGCGAANAANCUUACCUGGUCUUGACAUCCACAGAACAUUCCAGAGAUGGGAUGGUGCCUUCGGGAACUGUGAGACAGGUGCUGCAUGGCUGUCGUCAGCUCGUGUUGUGAAAUGUUGGGUUAAGUCCCGCAACGAGCGCAACCCUUAUCCUUUGUUGCCAGCGGUCCGGCCGGGAACUCAAAGGAGACUGCCAGUGAUAAACUGGAGGAAGGUGGGGAUGACGUCAAGUCAUCAUGGCCCUUACGACCAGGGCUACACACGUGCUACAAUGGCGCAUACAAAGAGAAGCGACCUCGCGAGAGCAAGCGGACCUCAUAAAGUGCGUCGUAGUCCGGAUUGGAGUCUGCAACUCGACUCCAUGAAGUCGGAAUCGCUAGUAAUCGUGGAUCAGAAUGCCACGGUGAAUACGUUCCCGGGUCUUGUACACACC